Syngnathoides biaculeatus (alligator pipefish) is the source of this 2178-nucleotide long non-coding RNA. RefSeq lists it as uncharacterized. Lineage: Eukaryota; Metazoa; Chordata; Actinopteri; Syngnathiformes; Syngnathidae. The record is from RefSeq and is a predicted model, not a curated record. The transcript has 3 exons.
UGAGCUACGCGCCAGGCUCCAGCUGGUGUGACACACAUAUGACUGUGAUUAGGCGGCUUUUUCUUGGGGGGGUUGGACGCGCCGGGACGAGCGGGAGGGCUCGUGCUUGCCCAAUCGGAACAUUGCAUGAGGCAACUAUCAGCCCUUUUGCUCAAUAUCUGCGUUGCAGAUUGCGAAAUAGCAACAUGCCCGCAAAACUGUAUACAAACAAAUGAGAAAUUUUCUGCGACAGACUGAAGGACUCUGAUCUCAUUUUUGAAACAUUUUGUCCUGCUGCUUUGUCCAGACUUUGACUGGACUGUUUUUUAAACGCCUCGUGAUAUCAGCAAGGACAAACAAGCAAACUCCGCAGCCUGGUCGGAAGGAUAAGGAAUGAAGGGGAAAUGGAGGCCAUUCUUCUCCUCGGCUGAUGGCAAUUGUGUAGGAAUACGAGCAGCCGUCAGCCCCCAACAAUGACCACAAAGGCCAACGGGACGCGACGGAGGACGUCACAGGACAGUUUUUGUUUUCUCUCGAUGCCCGAUAAACAGAAUUUGCCGGAACUUUUGCCUUAAAUAUACCUUUCUCGACUUGUUCAUGAAUUCUAGACAUACAGUAUCUGCGUGAAUGUUUUGCAGGACGAAAAGGUCAUCUAAUGACCCUGCUCUUGGUAUGCAGCCCACCUUCAAUGUGACCUCCAUUCUGACUCAAUACCUCUUUCAAAACAGACAAAGAGCAGCAGGGUUGCUGUGUCCUUCGGGUCGCUUCUCAAAAGCUGCAAGAGCUUCAUGGCGAGAACCAGCUGGUUCCGAUGGUUGGUCAAAGCCUCACGAUAGUUUCCCUUGGAGAAGAAUGCCGAGCCUAAAUUCCCAUGAGCACGGCAUUCCCCUGUUUGGUCACCUGGAGACGAAUGGGAUUCAUUAUCCUCAGGGCAGCGGGCGAUUGCAACGGCAACACUGUUUCCGAACAUUUCUAGCCAGCGGUGUUGAACCGUAAUGUGAGCCUUGGGGGGGGGGAUGUUGCACAUUCUCUCUCCACCGUAGAAUGGUUUCCCUGACAUCUAGUAGUGUUAAACUCACCUCUCCCCGGUUUGAGAUGGAAACCACUUAUUUCAUCUUAACGGAGGGGCUUCGCUGACACGUAGCGAGAAAAGUGCAAGUGCCCGUGAGCUACCUGAGAAUCCCACUUCCACAUUUGCAAAGGCUUUGCUAAGGCAUGCAAGAUUUUUACAGUCGAGGGAGCAGUCUGAAUUUAAGUCGGUGUAGUUCCACGUUGUGCAACGACAUGCUGAAGUCUGCUGGAAGACAAGCAGCGUCAUUGAAAGCAAGAAAAAGGGCCAACGAAGGUCACCAAGUGCACUUCAGUCAUGACAGUUGUUCCCACAGAGUGGAGAGACUAUAUGCCUGGAAGUACUACUGCAUGCCUUGCUUUGUGUGUUACUGUUGGACGUCUACAUUUACCAUAACACCAACUAUUAUUUCCAUUAGCCCAUCUAUGGCGUUUUGCAUUACAUGUUAAUGUUAAAGGGGAAAUCCAAUGGUUUGCUUUAUGUAUCCAAUAGGUCACGUAAUACGUACCCUGUCAAAUCCUCUCUCAUUUAAUACUGUUUUGAGAAGAACAAUUACGAAUUUUCGCGAGUCACAUGACCUACGUGGGCGUAUGUGACGUGUUACGUGGUGUUCUAAACGCUCGAUUACAUGCGACACCAUUAUGCCCAGCGCGUGCCCUACGGAGGAAUACUUCCAUACAGAUUUGAACCUGUGGGUGUAAAUAAUGUCAGGAGCUCGCUCGGCCAGGGAGCGCGGAGCGAGCUCGUCAGAUUCCACCGUCAUUCCACCCGAAGAAACAUCCGAAUAUUCAACAUUAUUUACAGCCACAGGUUCAAAUCUGUAUGGAAGUAUUCCUCCGUCUUCCCGAUGAACCGAGUGAACGAGCCGCUCACGGCUGCGUAUGGAAGUAUUCCUCCAUCUUGGGUUAGAUGGAUAAAUCCGAGAAAUCAGCGCUGGGCUUAAAUAGUGUCCCAUGUAAUCGAGCGUUUGGAACGGCACGUAACACGUCACAUACGCCCUCGUAGGUUAUGUGAAUCGCGAAAAUGGCAGCGCCCCUGAAAAUUAUUGCCUCUCUUUUUAUGUGUCAGUUUUCAAUAACUGUCAACUGUAUGACAGCUAAACAAAACACCCAAAUCAUUAAGGACAUGCU